This 432-nucleotide ribosomal RNA is filed under the name uncultured bacterium. RNAcentral's name for it is "bacterial SSU rRNA". It matches the Rfam family "Bacterial small subunit ribosomal RNA", at positions 29 to 507 of the family's 1533-position model. The record is from RNAcentral.
AACGAACGCUGGCGGCAGGCCUAACACAUGCAAGUCGAGCGCUCUCUUCGGAGGGAGCGGCGGACGGGUUAGUAACGCGUGGGAACGUGCCCUUCUCUGCGGAAUAGCCACUGGAAACGGUGAGUAAUACCGCAUACGCCCUUCGGAGGAAAGAUUUAUCGGAGAAGGAUCGGCCCGCGUUAGAUUAGAUAGUUGGUGGGUAACGGCCUACCAAGUCUACGAUCUAUAGCUGGUUUUAGAGGAUGAUCAGCAACACUGGGACUGAGACACGGCCCAGACUCCUACGGGAGGCAGCAGUGGGGAAUCUUAGACAAUGGGCGCAAGCCUGAUCUAGCCAUGCCGCGUGUGUGAUGAAGGUCUUAGGAUCGUAAAGCACUUUCGCCAGGGAUGAUAAUGACAGUACCUGGUAAAGAAACCCCGGCUAACUCCGUG